GGUGCUACGAAACCCAAAGGCAGUGAAAGCGAAGGCCUGCCCCAGUGCCCAGGUGGGAUCCCGGUUGGGCGCACCACCGGCCCGUCUGGAACUUCCCAUGCCGAAGUCAGGCGGAGCAAGAGCGUACACGUUGGGACCCGAAAGAUGGUGAACUAUGCCUGAGCAGGCUGAAGCCAGGGGAAACCCUGGUGGAGGGCCGCAGCGAUUCUGACGUGCAAAUCGAUCGUCCGACUUGGGUAUAGGGGCGAAAGACUAAUCGAACCAUCUAGUAGCUGGUUCCCUCCGAAGUUUCCCUCAGGAUAGCAGGCGCUCGAGGGAUCAGUUUUAUCCGGUAAAGCGAAUGAUUAGAGGCCUUGGGGCCGAAACGACCUCAACCUAUUCUCAAACUUUAAAUGGGUAAGAAGCCCCGCUCGCCUGAACGGAGCGG
Molecule: ribosomal RNA, 427 nt
Filed under: Syllis variegata
Lineage: Eukaryota; Metazoa; Annelida; Polychaeta; Phyllodocida; Syllidae
Description: eukaryotic LSU rRNA
Rfam family: Eukaryotic large subunit ribosomal RNA
Source: RNAcentral